RNAcentral lists this ribosomal RNA (428 nucleotides) under Leptoglossus occidentalis. RNAcentral describes it as "SSU rRNA". It matches the Rfam family "Eukaryotic small subunit ribosomal RNA", at positions 617 to 957 of the family's 1831-position model. Lineage: Eukaryota; Metazoa; Arthropoda; Insecta; Hemiptera; Coreidae. The record is from RNAcentral.
GGUUAAAAAGCUCGUAGUUGGUUCUGCGUGCCACGCUGUCGGUUCACCGCCUGCCGGUGCAACUGGCAUGCCGUGGCAUGUCCUGUCGGUGGCGGAUAGGCUUCGCGGCGUGCCCUAUGCGGUAUACCAGCGUGUAGGUUGCUGCGCCGCGUUGUCCUUGUACGCCGGCUCAAUCCUACCGCGGUGCUCUUUACCGAGUGUCGAGGUAGGCCGACACUGUUUACUUUGAACAAAUUAGAGUGCUUAAAGCAGGCUCUUAAAUCAGCCUGAAUAGUGGUGCAUGGAAUAAUGGAAAAGGACCUUGGUUCUAUUUUGUUGGUUUCCGGAAUCCAAGGUAAUGAUCAAUAAGGACAGGCGGGGGCAUUCGUAUUGCGACGUUAAAGGUGAAAUUCUUGGAUCGUCCCAAGACCCCUAAAACGAAAGAUUUG